AAUUCUACAUCCGCGGAAAGCCAUACUGCACCUCACGGGGUCUUACUAUGCCCGGCGGCAAGCAGAAUAUAAGUCGUAGGACCGGCCGAUCCUACGCCUAGGGCCGUGUCCCCCCUAGAAAGGGACUGGGCUCCACCCACCCAGAAGGCUACUAUGUGCACAAAGGCCGAUGUUCAACCCCAUCGACUAUAGGUGUCCUGCAGAUACUGCCAAGCCAUGCAUAAAUGCCAUAAUGCACCCUCCCAAUACUCUACUAAAAACGAGUAUAAUCAAGACUACCACUCACUCGAUCAUGACCCAAUCAUAAACUAACAUCAGGGUUAGGAGUGAGGGUCAAGGAAGUGCAAUACAACUCAAUAUACCACUAAAAAGGCUCUACAAAUCUUUAAAAUAGAGGAAAUGAAAUCAAUUUACAAAAGAAAUAAUUUCACAAUUCGGAAUCAAUUUGAUUACUCAUCAACCCCUCAUAAUUCCUCUCAAUGCUCCCUCAAAUGCAUGUACAGAAUAAUCAAGCAUGGAGAAUCAAGAUUAUAGAGGAAUCUACUACAACAAUUAAUCAAUAAGCUCAGUGGAAUCAAGUCACACUUGGCAACAUUUAUGAAAAUGAAUAAGGAAUGCGCUCAUGGUGCAAAGUACAAACUCCCACUUACCUGCCGAUCCGGCACGGCCUCGAUACGCCUCCAAAACUUUAUGGUAGGCAGUAGGGGGCUUCUUCUUCUUGCUCCCUAACUUCUUGCCCAACUGUGACAUGCAUUUACAAUACAUUUAGUCUUGUAUCAAGGGUCAUAUUCUACGUGCCAAUUAUAACAUAGGAAAAUUUAAUUGAUUCAACUUCUCCGUUUCCUAAAUCUUUUCUUUUCUUUCUUCUUUUUCUUUUUAAUUAAUUAACUCACCAUUUAUGUGUAUUAGGAACUUCCUUGCAUGAGUACAAGGUCCCUUUUAGCUUGAUCUAGGCUUAAUACCCUAUUAUAGCAUGAAAUCCCCUAUUUUCCACCCGGAUGAACAUUAACCCGGACCGACAGCCGGUUACUUCAUCCCGGGUUUGAUCCACUUUCCAGACUCCAAAUUUGAUGAAAUUUUUAUCUAACAUCCUACGCUCAUAGAGGAUUCCAGAAUAGUAAUAUGCAUCACUAUCGGAGGCCGUUUGACCCCCGAAAUAAUUCGCCGAAGUUGAGACUUCGACACAGUUUUUCCGUAGUGCCGAAAAAAUUUGUCGAAAUCCGAUUCUUCCUCUUUUAACCACCUCUACAACCCUUAUCCGACCCCUCUAGACUACAUCCACCCUUUGUAUAGCCUAAUAUCAUCAAAAGACUAGAUAGGAAUGGAUAUUUACUUUUUUCUUUUUGAAAAUCGAGGUCCUUGCGUAGAGGGGAAGGAGAUCUACACUUUUUCCUUCAGCUGGCAGCGCAACCGGGAUCUCCUUCCUUUUCUUUUUCUUCUUCUUCUUCUCCUUCCUUUCUUCCUUUCCUUUCCUCUCCUUCCUUUUCUUCCUCUCUGUUGCCGUCUGAGAACCUCCUCCCUCUUUCUUUCUCUGCUUCAUUCCGUGAGCCAGCUCAAACCCUCCAAUUAAAUCACAUCAAGAUACUAUUCACCCUUUCUUUAAUAUUAUUAAAUUUUCAUUUUGCCCCUAACACUUCAACAUAUCUACUGUUAUGCCAUUAACUUUUGAUUUCUUUCCAAUUUUACCCUUACCACUUCAACGUAUCUACAACUAUGCCAUUAUCUUUUGAUUCCUUCCAAUUUUACCCCUAAUAUCAAUUUUAAAGGACUAUUCUAUCCCUUUUUAUAUAAAAAAUUUUUUGGGGUUAUUACAUAAGGACUCGAAGAUAAAUCCUCCUUUAUCAUUAAUAAGUCCUAAGGACUUCAUCAUAUAAGAGUUCAUUU
RNAcentral lists this long non-coding RNA (1884 nucleotides) under Phoenix dactylifera (date palm). RNAcentral's name for it is "long non-coding RNA (PDAC_LNC004787)". Lineage: Eukaryota; Viridiplantae; Streptophyta; Magnoliopsida; Arecales; Arecaceae. The record is from RNAcentral.